This 148-nucleotide ribosomal RNA is filed under the name Escherichia coli. RNAcentral's name for it is "partial 16S ribosomal RNA". It matches the Rfam family "Bacterial small subunit ribosomal RNA", at positions 1 to 142 of the family's 1533-position model. Lineage: Bacteria; Pseudomonadati; Pseudomonadota; Gammaproteobacteria; Enterobacterales; Enterobacteriaceae. The record is from RNAcentral.
AAAUUGAAGAGUUUGAUCAUGGCUCAGAUUGAACGCUGGCGGCAGGCCUAACACAUGCAAGUCGAACGGUAACAGAAAGAAGCUUGCUUCUUUGCUGACGAGUGGCGGACGGGUGAGUAAUGUCUGGGAAACUGCCUGAUGGAGGGGG